GACCCCUUUGCCUAUCCGUCUGCCAGGAGCACCUAAGGGUGGCCGUCCUGAGGGUCACGGUGGACAGCCCGGCCCAGUGCCACCCCCACCAUGAGGACCCAGUGUAUCAGUGCCACACAGGGCCCCUCGGCUACCCAGUGGCCCUGAGAAAGCGGAAAGGGCUCGUCCCUCCUGGACUCACAGAUAUUGCUCUUGGCUCCAGGACAGAAAAGUGAGAGGAAUGACUGGCUCUCCGGAGACAGGAAAACAGCAGACUGUUUAAUGAGGCCAGGAGGGCCUUUUACAGGGGUUGUGCACCCACCCACUGCUCUCCUGUGGCCCAUGGCUGAGGUGCUGGAAGGGCACGCUGGGCCUCGAAGUCAGACCUCAGUCAGGGGCAGCGAGACCACUGCAGAGCCAGCACCCUGGGAGAGUGGGCGGUGAGGGAAGGUGGAAGGGAGGGAGGAUGGCGAUCAGGCUCCUGCUACUCACAGGACCUGGCUGGGCCCAGUCACCUUCUCCUCUGUCUGAACUGGACAGGGCUUGACCAUUGACGGCAAGGGCAGGCUAGGGGGUCCCGGCAGCAUGGCCUGCGUGCAGGACCAGCCUCUUAGGACCUCUGUGGCCCUCACAAAAGCCACAAAACCCACCCUUAAUUACCUUUUGGGGAGCUGCUCCUGUAUAGGAAAACAUGGAUGUAUUUGCUUCAGUAGUUUUUCAACAUAUUGCAUGAUUUAAAUGCCAGGCUCUUGUUCUUUCAGUUUUAGGGCCUUUGCACUGAACUACAGCUACUUGUUUGUUCACUUAUUUUCGAAAGAGGCUCUCACUAAGUUACUAAGUUGCCCGGGCAGGGAUUGAACUUGACCUCCUCAUGCCUCAGCCUCCCAGAGGACCAAGGUCUGCAGAUGUGUGCCACCACACCCAGGGAGUGUGUACCUCUGAAGCGUGGUUUUGUUCCAGUUUGGAGAAGCCUCAAUUCUUGGGUUCGUCACAUUUUCCCAGAGAUGAAAGAGAGGAAGACCAGGGGAGAGAGUCAAAGCCUCUGUCCAAUGGCUGCGUGUGGGCAGGCCGGCAGCCCGCGUGUCAAGGAAGCUGUCUCUAUACUGGACCUGGCGUGGACCUGGGAGCUGGGUCUGAAGGGAAUCUACAACUCGAAGGCUACUUUGGUGACUCAGGGACACGAGAUCUAUAUCUCCAUGCUGCUCUUGGCCUUCUCUUGUGAUCACAAGACAGCUGCUACAGCUCCACGCAUGAAUGAAGGCAAAGCCAGGGAUAUCUGGAAAGCAGAAGCCUUGACUUCUGUUCAUCUCCUCACUCAGGACCGAGUCACAAGGCCACCUUGGUUAUACUGUGUGUAGGAAAAUAAGUGUUUUGUUUCUUGGGUGUGUAGAAUGGAGGCAGCUGGCAGAGGGGUUCUCCAUGUCAGCAGUGCUGGCUGCUUGAGUUCGUUCAAAAUAAUGACCCUCAUGGAGCCGUCAGCCAGAAGACAGAGACUCUCUGGAGACGGGUUACAUUUGUUUGGAAAUAAAAUUUUAAAAACUUGCAACGGGAA
Molecule: long non-coding RNA, 1531 nt
Filed under: Fukomys damarensis (Damara mole-rat)
Lineage: Eukaryota; Metazoa; Chordata; Mammalia; Rodentia; Bathyergidae
Description: lncRNA (ENSFDAG00000027952.1)
Source: RNAcentral